Non-coding RNA from Ceratobasidium sp. 423, 105 nucleotides. The record is from the annotation of a GenBank genome assembly. NCBI's taxonomy places the organism in Eukaryota, Fungi, Basidiomycota, Agaricomycetes, Cantharellales, Ceratobasidiaceae.
UCCAGUAUGGUGUAACGGCUAACAUUGUCGCCUUUCAAAUUUGCUUACGUAAUGCUUACGUAAGCUGAUUCGCGACGGCUCAGGGUUCGACCCCCUGUACUGGAG